Molecule: ribosomal RNA, 253 nt
Filed under: uncultured bacterium
Lineage: Bacteria
Description: partial 16S ribosomal RNA
Rfam family: Bacterial small subunit ribosomal RNA
Source: RNAcentral
GACAGAGGAUGCAAGCGUUAUCCGGAAUUAUUGGGCGUAAAGCGUCUGUAGGUGGCUUUUUAAGUUCGCCGUCAAAUCCCAGGGCUCAACCCUGGACAGGUGGUGGAAACUACCAAGCUAGAGUACGGUAGGGGCAGAGGGAAUUUCCGGUGGAGCGAUGAAAUGCGUAGAGAUCGGAAGGAACACCCAAGGCGAAAGCACUCUGCUGGACCGACACUGACACUGAGAGACGAAAGCUAGGGGAGCAAAUGGG